Carya illinoinensis is the source of this 608-nucleotide long non-coding RNA. RefSeq lists it as uncharacterized. The transcript has 2 exons. Lineage: Eukaryota; Viridiplantae; Streptophyta; Magnoliopsida; Fagales; Juglandaceae. The record is from RefSeq and is a predicted model, not a curated record.
ACUCACUUCCAGCUGGCUAAUUGCCUGUGGAUGUUACUGUUGUGCAGGGGAAAAAAAGUUGAAAAGACUAUUCUAAAUCUAAAUGAUGAAGAUUCCCUUCCUAUGGUUGUGCAACAUGAGGUUGUGGGCAGACAUAAUGGAUAAGGCCUACUCACCGCUUUCUACGACAUAGAGGCUGUCAGAGGAAAAACCAAGGCACUCGCCCACAGUUCUUGAGAAACAGACCGAGAGUUCUUUUUUAGUUCACAUUCGUUUCUCUGAUAUAAGAUUAGGAUCAAUAAGGCUCUUCAUCAUGACUAAGAGAAUUUAUGAUGUGUAUACAGUAUAUUCAUGACAGAAUUGAGAUGCCCGGUAUGGUGAUGGUUGCACUCUUGGGUCUAGUAUACUGGUUCUAAAGUUGACAUCCCAAACUUUUCAAACUCUAUGGAGUAUAAUUGCAGUUCCUUCAAAUCACUAAUUCAGCUUUUGAUGCCUAAUCCUCCAUGGCAAAAGCACUUUGCAUAUUACAACAAUUACUAUGGGAAACUCAUCUUUUAUCAUCAUGUCUAGUUAAAAUAGCUUGCUUAACAUGUUGAUAUUUUUUUUAAUAAUAGUAUAAUUUCUUUUUA